Molecule: ribosomal RNA, 440 nt
Filed under: uncultured bacterium
Lineage: Bacteria
Description: partial 16S ribosomal RNA
Rfam family: Bacterial small subunit ribosomal RNA
Source: RNAcentral
CCUACGGGAGGCUGCAGUGGGGGAUAUUGCACAAUGGGGGAAACCCUGAUGCAGCGACGCCGCGUGUGGGAAGACGGUCCUCUGGAUUGUAAACCACUGUCCCCAGGGACGAAGAUGACGGUACCUGGGGAGGAAGCUCCGGCUAACUACGUGCCAGCAGCCGCGGCAAUACGUAGGGAGCAAGCGUUGUCCGGAAUUACUGGGUGUAAAGGGAGCGUAGGCGGGAUGGCAAGUUGGGUGUUAAAGCUACGGGCUCAACUGGUAGUCGAACUCAAAACUGCUAUUCUUGAGUGAAGUAGAGGCAGGCGGAAUUCCUAGUGUAGCGGUGAAAUGCGUAGAUAUUAGGAGGAACACCAGUGGCGAAGGCGGCCUGCUGGGUUUUUACUGACGCUGAGGCUCGAAAGUGUGGGGAGCAAACAGGAUUAGAUACCCGAGUAGUC